RNAcentral lists this ribosomal RNA (373 nucleotides) under uncultured organism. RNAcentral's name for it is "partial 16S ribosomal RNA". It matches the Rfam family "Bacterial small subunit ribosomal RNA", at positions 526 to 896 of the family's 1533-position model. The record is from RNAcentral.
GUAGGGUGGCAAGCGUUGUCCGGAAUUAUUGGGCGUAAAGCGCGCGCAGGCGGUCCUUUAAGUCUGAUGUGAAAGCCCACGGCUCAACCGUGGAGGGUCAUUGGAAACUGGGGGACUUGAGUACAGAAGAGGAAAGCGGAAUUCCAAGUGUAGCGGUGAAAUGCGUAGAGAUUUGGAGGAACACCAGUGGCGAAGGCGGCUUUCUGGUCUGUAACUGACGCUGAGGCGCGAAAGCGUGGGGAGCAAACAGGAUUAGAUACCCUGGUAGUCCACGCCGUAAACGAUGAGUGCUAAGUGUUAGGGGGGUUUCCGCCCCUUAGUGCUGCAGCUAACGCAUUAAGCACUCCGCCUGGGGAGUACGGCCGCAAGGCUG